CGUACGGGUGAGUAACACGUGGGUAAUCUACCUCUUAGUGGGGAAUAACCCUGGGAAACCGGGGCUAAUACCGCAUAAGCUCGAGAGAGGAAAGCAGCAAUGCGCUGAGAGAGGAGCCCGCGGCCGAUUAGCUAGUUGGCAGGGUAAGAGCCUACCAAGGCAGAGAUCGGUAGCCGGCCUGAGAGGGCACACGGCCACACUGGCACUGAAACACGGGCCAGACUCCUACGGGAGGCAGCAGUGGGGAAUCUUGCACAAUGGGGGAAACCCUGAUGCAGCGACGCCGCGUGAGCGAUGAAGCCCUUCGGGGUGUAAAGCUCUUUCGGCAGGGAAGAUGAUGACGGUACCUGCAGAAGCAGCUGCGGCUAACUACGUGCCAGCAGCCGCGGUAAUACGUAGGCAGCGAGCGUUGUUCGGAGUUACUGGGCGUAAAGGGUGUGUAGGCGGUUCUUUAAGUUUGGUGUGAAAUCUCCCGGCUCAACCGGGAGGGUGCGCCGAAUACUGAGGGACUCGAGUGCGGGAGAGGAAAGUGGAAUUCCUGGUGUAGCGGUGAAAUGCGUAGAUAUCAGGAGGAACACCGGUGGUGUAGACGGCUUUCUGGACCGUAACUGACGCUGAGACACGAAAGCGUGGGUAGCAAACAGGAUUAGAUACCCUGGUAGUCCACGCCCUAAACGAUGCAUAUUUGGUGUGGGUCAUUCAGUUGAUCCGUGCCGGAGCUAACGCGUUAAAUAUGCCGCCUGGGGAGUACAGUCGCAAGGCUGAAACUCAAAGGAAUUGACGGGGGCCCGCACAAGCGGUGGAGCAUGUGGUUCAAUU
This 819-nucleotide ribosomal RNA is filed under the name uncultured Acidobacteriota bacterium. Its description in RNAcentral is "bacterial SSU rRNA". It matches the Rfam family "Bacterial small subunit ribosomal RNA", at positions 99 to 951 of the family's 1533-position model. The record is from RNAcentral. Lineage: Bacteria; Pseudomonadati; Acidobacteriota.